Molecule: long non-coding RNA, 329 nt
Organism: Mycetomoellerius zeteki
Lineage: Eukaryota; Metazoa; Arthropoda; Insecta; Hymenoptera; Formicidae
Exons: 3
Source: RefSeq, a predicted model, not a curated record
GUAAAAUAUCUAGUCAAUAAUUUUUUCGUCUAUAGCGAUUUCGGCUGGGAUGCACUAGUGUGCACUGGUGCAUAUAAAGACCGUUGUAUAAUGAAUAGCGAUUUCGGCUAGGAUACACUAGUAAACAUAAAACUGUCAUACACAAUUGCCGUAAAAAUGUAUAAAAAACAGGUUAAAUCGUAUAAUCUCCAAUACAUUUUAUUGUACUGUUAAUAAAACAUGUAUUUCAUAAUUUGCAUUUCGUUUUUGCACUCAUAGUGAUUUCGGCUGGGACGCACUGACUGCAUAUUUCGGGUUUUGGUACAACUGGUAUGUUCGACUGGUCGAAU